This 253-nucleotide ribosomal RNA is filed under the name uncultured bacterium. RNAcentral describes it as "partial 16S ribosomal RNA". It matches the Rfam family "Bacterial small subunit ribosomal RNA", at positions 524 to 776 of the family's 1533-position model. The record is from RNAcentral.
UACGUAGGUGGCAAGCGUUGUCCGGAUUUACUGGGCGUAAAGAGCGCGCAGGCGGUCGUUCAAGUCGCGUGUGAAAGCCCCCGGCUCAACUGGGGAGGGUCACGCGAUACUGAUCGACUCGAAGGCAGGAGAGGGUAGUGGAAUUCCUGGUGUAGCGGUGGAAUGCGCAGAUAUCAGGAGGAACACCGAUAGCGAAGGCAGCUCGCUGGGACGGUACUGACGCUGAGGCGCGAAAGCGUGGGGAGCGAACAGG